CCUGAGAAAUAGCUACCACUUCUACGGAGGGCAGCAGGCGCGCAAAUUGCCCAAUGUCAAAAAAAAACGAUGAGGCAGCGAAAAGAAAUAGAGCCGGCAGUGCCACUGGCAUUGCCGUUUUCAAUGGGGGAUAUUUAAACCCAUCCAAAAUCGAGUAUCAAUUGGAGGACAAGUCUGGUGCCAGCACCCGCGGUAAUUCCAGCUCCAAAAGCGUAUAUUAAUGCUGUUGCUGUUAAAGGGUUCGA
Molecule: ribosomal RNA, 245 nt
Filed under: Trypanosoma vegrandis
Lineage: Eukaryota; Euglenozoa; Kinetoplastea; Trypanosomatida; Trypanosomatidae
Description: partial small subunit ribosomal RNA
Rfam family: Eukaryotic small subunit ribosomal RNA
Source: RNAcentral